AUACGGGGGGGGCAAGCGUUGUUCGGAAUUACUGGGCGUAAAGGGCGCGUAGGCGGACCAGACAGUCUCUCGUGAAAUCCCACGGCUCAACCGUGGAACUGCGGGAGAUACUACUGGCCUUGAGUUCGGGAGAGGAGUGUGGAAUUCCCAGUGUAGAGGUGAAAUUCGUAGAUAUUGGGAAGAACACCGGUGGCGAAGGCGGCCAUCUGGACCGGCACUGACGCUGAGGCGCGAAAGCUAGGGUAGCGAACGGGAUUAGAAUCCCCAGUAGUCC
RNAcentral lists this ribosomal RNA (274 nucleotides) under uncultured bacterium. Its description in RNAcentral is "partial 16S ribosomal RNA". It matches the Rfam family "Bacterial small subunit ribosomal RNA", at positions 523 to 796 of the family's 1533-position model. The record is from RNAcentral.